GACGAACGCUGGCGGCGUGCCUAACACAUGCAAGUCGAGCGAAUGAAGUUCCUUCGGGAACGGAUUUAGCGGCGGACGGGUGAGUAACACGUGGGCAACCUGCCUCAUAGAGGGGAAUAGCCUUCCGAAAGGAAGAUUAAUACCGCAUAAGAUUGUAGCUUCGCAUGAAGCAGCAAUUAAAGGAGCAAUCCGCUAUGAGAUGGGCCCGCGGCGCAUUAGCUAGUUGGUGAGGUAACGGCUCACCAAGGCGACGAUGCGUAGCCGACCUGAGAGGGUGAUCGGCCACAUUGGGACUGAGACACGGCCCAGACUCCUACGGGAGGCAGCAGUGGGGAAUAUUGCACAAUGGGGGAAACCCUGAUGCAGCAACGCCGCGUGAGUGAUGACGGUCUUCGGAUUGUAAAGCUCUGUCUUCAGGGACGAUAAUGACGGUACCUGAGGAGGAAGCCACGGCUAACUACGUGCCAGCCGCCGCUGUAA
This 480-nucleotide ribosomal RNA is filed under the name uncultured bacterium. Its description in RNAcentral is "partial 16S ribosomal RNA". It matches the Rfam family "Bacterial small subunit ribosomal RNA", at positions 28 to 523 of the family's 1533-position model. The record is from RNAcentral.